This is a long non-coding RNA of Mizuhopecten yessoensis (Yesso scallop), 2654 nucleotides long. RefSeq lists it as uncharacterized. The transcript is spliced from 4 exons. Lineage: Eukaryota; Metazoa; Mollusca; Bivalvia; Pectinida; Pectinidae. The record is from RefSeq and is a predicted model, not a curated record.
CACAUUUAUACCGCGACGGCAGCUGACCCAGAUUGUACGUGUUAUAAGUUCUGAAGAUAUCUUCGAGCAUACCUGUCAACUCAACCGGAUUGUCCGGAUUACAGUUGUAAAGUCAAUUAACGCGUUGAGAAAACAAUCCGAUAAGUGAGUCACACAUAGGUGGCCUCGAGCUCGCACACGUACAUUUGACGGCGCCGUCAUCACCCUGAUGUGUAUGCUGAGAGGUUGACAGAUCUUAUUCAGAUAUCGAUCUCUAGUCAAAUGCUGGCUGGAUUCUUCAAGCAAGUUGUCGGUGGAAUCAAAGGAAUUGUGGACGCAGCCUCGGCCAACAUCAGCCCUUUUAAAGUACAAGUUGCUAAACCUGAGGAUCAUUCGGGCGCAGCAAAGAGAGAACAAAUGUAGAUGAAAUAGCACUUGCAUCCAAACAAUCAGAUUGUGUCUGAAGUAGGGAGUAGACGUUUUCCCCCAAAUUAACAUUCCAGCUUUCAGACAUUCAGAUUCCCAAUGUAGUACAUAAAGAUGAGAGGGAGAAAUAGAUAGAGGAGCUUCUAGAUGAGUUCAUGGUUCCAGUAUGCAUCAAAGAUGAAAGAUGCCAAGUUUUCUACACUUAACUCAAACUACCUGUACUUUAUGUACUGGGAAAUCAGCAUUUUGAAAAGAGAGAAUGUAAUAAAACGAAAUGUGUGAAAAGAUUGAUUUAAAAAAAGUCCUAAAUCAUACCAGAAGACAACAUAUGUUAUGCCUUGACAGCGCAGAAAUUAAUAGAUUAGGUUUGAGGUUUUUUGUCGCGCGUUACAGUAUAACCCGAACAGAAUUUUGCAAUGAUUCAAGGGUUAGCAGGUAUGAGUAUUGCUGUUUCUGAAUAAGUUCAGUGUUUAGCAAUUGCAUUGUAUCCCGCUAUUUUAAAGUGACGCCUUUCUGCAUUUUUCUCAAAUACUUGCGGUGCAAACAUUCUAUUCACGUUUAUCUUAGUCUUAACACACUGACAUCCUCGAUGAUACGUGGGUUGCGCUCUCUGCUCCCCUGUGAUAUGGCAGGACUAAAUCGAAGGGUAGAGCUUAGUGUGCGCCACCUUGUGUAUGAGACAAGACGACUAGUUUGGUCCUGUGAUGUACGUCAAAAGAAUCUCGCGAUAGCGGCGUAACGGUAAAAUUGACCAGAUUUGAAGCUACUUUCAAACUACAAGUAUCAGCCUUGCGAUUGGUCAGAUUUUUUUUACCAGAGACUAAUCAAAUAUAUAGCCGGGUACCAGACCGAGUUUCCUCUGACACUGACACCAGACUUAGAUAUUUUGACAGAAAGGUGUGGACCAGACAUGUCUGGUGUCAGGUCCAGAUGAAACUCGGGCUAACCGUGUACCUUCAAUUAUGUUAUGAUAUAAAAAUCACAGGGGUGCAGAGAGCGUAAGUUGGCGUAACCCCUGGAAUUUCACGAAUACUACACUUGGUGGUUACAAACAAGAAAAUUCAUUUUUUUAAAGGCAGGAAAUUUGAUUUUAUGUUUGAAAAUGGCCACUGUGUUCAUAAACAAUGUCGAUAUAUCGCUUUUUGACCAUAACAUGCUACAAGUGACAUGUUAUGUUGUGGCCGUAAUCAAUAUAAUGACAAACUCCGUAUGUGGUAUUUACAACUACCUGUUUAUUGCUACAUGGCUAUGGUGCCUUAUGAUACAGUUACAGAGUACAGGGUCAGUACACACCAGUGUAAUAUCCAUGAUCAGGGCCUUGGCUGAUAAGCCUUGACACGAUUGCAGUUAAUUAAAUUACAGGCCGGUCUCACAUGGAUCUUAUUACUGUCGUAAUGGAUAAUGACUGAACAUUGCAUGAGUGUUAAUUAAUUACCGCAAGUAUAUGUGACAAAAAUGCAUUCUUAAGCCUUUUAGUUACAUCCUAUUUAUGAAAUAAGUCACUCUAAAUAUCAGAAUUUAGAUUUUUUUCUGUUAUUCUUGAGUCUGUAAUCUACGGAAGCCCAUUAGUGCCAAAUGAAAACUUAAAUAAAAAUAAUUUGCCAAAGUGUUGGGUAAUUACGCAAUAAUUUGUUUUUUUGGAUUUCAUUUGAUACCAAUGGGUUUCCGUAGUAAUUAAUACUCCAUUAUCAAGUAAGCAUGUCACAAUAAAGAAUUCAUAAAAAGUGGUUUAUUCAUAAGAUUAAUUUAUGCUGAUGAACAUAAACAUUGCUACAGUUAGCCGAAUUAUUGUACACAUUUUGUAGCAAAUAAUACUUUGUAAACGUAGCUGUUUAAUAUGUACAUGAAUAACAUGAAUUUCGCCUGAUAAUCUGGAACAUAAGCACAUCUGGCGUGUGUAGGUGUGUGUGUUUGUGUGCUUGUUGUUCAUUCUACUUUAGUUUGUGUGUGUUUUAAAAAGUUGUCCUGUUUGCUACAGAUUUUUUGUUUUUAAUUCGUCUACGACAUAAUUAGCCUAAUCAUUAUACAUACACGACCCGGUAAACAAUGCAAUGCUACCGUAUAUCAAAUCGACGUUUGGUCUUACCACGGACUUGGAUAACAAGAAUAAGAAUAAUAAGAAUCGCCUGUUAACUUAGUUGUGUAUGUUUUCAUUGGUUGUACUUGCUUUGAAAUGAAACAAUCGCCUCGUUAUCAUUGUUAUAGUCAUUCUUUCAUCGACAUAAGUUUGAUUUGUAAUAAAUAACCGA